UUUAUGGAGAGUUUGAUCCUGGCUCAGGACGAACGCUGGCGGCGUGCUUAACACAUGCAAGUCGAACGGUGAUGUCAGAGCUUGCUCUGGCGGAUCAGUGGCGAACGGGUGAGUAACACGUGAGUAACCUGCCCCCGACUCUGGGAUAACUGCUAGAAAUGGUAGCUAAUACCGGAUAUGACGAUUGGCCGCAUGGUCUGGUCGUGGAAAGAAUUUCGGUUGGGGAUGGACUCGCGGCCUAUCAGGUUGUUGGUGAGGUAAUGGCUCACCAAGCCUACGACGGGUAGCCGGCCUGAGAGGGUGACCGGCCACACUGGGACUGAGACACGGCCCAGACUCCUACGGGAGGCAGCAGUGGGGAAUAUUGCACAAUGGGCGAAAGCCUGAUGCAGCAACGCCGCGUGAGGGAUGACGGCCUUCGGGUUGUAAACCUCUUUUAGUAGGGAAGAAGCGAAAGUGACGGUACCUGCAGAAAAAGCACCGGCUAACUACGUGCCAGCAGCCGCGGUAAUACGUAGGGUGCAAGCGUUGUCCGGAAUUAUUGGGCGUAAAGAGCUCGUAGGCGGUUUGUCGCGUCUGCUGUGAAAUCCCGAGGCUCAACCUCGGGUCUGCAGUGGGUACGGGCAGACUAGAGUGCGGUAGGGGAGAUUGGAAUUCCUGGUGUAGCGGUGGAAUGCGCAGAUAUCAGGAGGAACACCGAUGGCGAAGGCAGAUCUCUGGGCCGUAACUGACGCUGAGGAGCGAAAGCAUGGGGAGCGAACAGGAUUAGAUACCCUGGUAGUCCAUGCCGUAAACGUUGGGAACUAGAUGUGGGGACCAUUCCACGGUCUCCGUGUCGCAGCUAACGCAUUAAGUUCCCCGCCUGGGGAGUACGGCCGCAAGGCUAAAACUCAAAGGAAUUGACGGGGGCCCGCACAAGCGGCGGAGCAUGCGGAUUAAUUCGAUGCAACGCGAAGAACCUUACCAAGGCUUGACAUAUACCGGAAACAUGCAGAAAUGUGUGCCCCGCAAGGUCGGUAUACAGGUGGUGCAUGGUUGUCGUCAGCUCGUGUCGUGAGAUGUUGGGUUAAGUCCCGCAACGAGCGCAACCCUCGUUCUAUGUUGCCAGCACGUAAUGGUGGGAACUCAUAGGAGACUGCCGGGGUCAACUCGGAGGAAGGUGGGGAUGACGUCAAAUCAUCAUGCCCCUUAUGUCUUGGGCUUCACGCAUGCUACAAUGGCCGGUACAAAGGGCUGCGAUACCGUAAGGUGGAGCGAAUCCCAAAAAGCCGGUCUCAGUUCGGAUUGAGGUCUGCAACUCGACCUCAUGAAGUCGGAGUCGCUAGUAAUCGCAGAUCAGCAACGCUGCGGUGAAUACGUUCCCGGGCCUUGUACACACCGCCCGUCAAGUCAUGAAAGUCGGUAACACCCGAAGCCAGUGGCCUAACCGCACGGGAGGAGCUGUCGAAGGUGGGAUCGGUGAUUAGGACUAAGUCGUAACAAGGUAGCCGUACCGGAAGGUGCGGCUGGAUCACCUCCUUUCUAAGGA
Molecule: ribosomal RNA, 1528 nt
Filed under: Clavibacter michiganensis subsp. michiganensis
Lineage: Bacteria; Bacillati; Actinomycetota; Actinomycetes; Micrococcales; Microbacteriaceae
Description: bacterial SSU rRNA
Rfam family: Bacterial small subunit ribosomal RNA
Source: RNAcentral